Molecule: long non-coding RNA, 294 nt
Organism: Humulus lupulus (European hop)
Lineage: Eukaryota; Viridiplantae; Streptophyta; Magnoliopsida; Rosales; Cannabaceae
Exons: 3
Source: RefSeq, a predicted model, not a curated record
AUGGAUUUGUUGCUAGUUCCUUAUUCAUCAGAUCCAGGGCUGAAGAUUAUUCAGUGGCCACCUUUUUUGCUUGCUAGCAAGGAUAAUUAGCAUCAUUAUUAAAGAAGUUGAAAGUAGCAUCUCAAAAAAUCAGCUUCUUGCAAACUUCAGAAUGGGUCCUUUACCUACUCUUUGCAAGAAAUUUGUGGAGCUUGUAGAGAUCUUGAAAGACGCUGAACCAUCCAAUAAAGAUACAGUGGUGUUGUUGCUGCAAGAUAUGUUGGAAGUUGUCUCCCGUGACAUGAUGGUGAAUGA